RNAcentral lists this unclassified non-coding RNA (218 nucleotides) under Hevea brasiliensis (rubber tree). The record is from RNAcentral. Lineage: Eukaryota; Viridiplantae; Streptophyta; Magnoliopsida; Malpighiales; Euphorbiaceae.
UACUGUGGAACUGGAACCAAAACCUGCCAAAAACACAAAAUUUGUAUGAAUACAUCUUGAAAUGGCAUUGGUAUCAAGGAAGGCCUAAAGCAUAAACAAAAUGAAAGGAGCAGGACAAAUGAAGCAGAAGAAACACAUGUUCUAUACUUCCAUCAAAGAGUGCUAUACUUUCACUCAUUGAAGGAAAGUCCAUUACCCCAUCACCUUCACCACGAAUU